UUUUUAUCUAAUGCUAUAUGCCAUAGGUCAACUAUAUUUGGUGUAUGGAAAUAUUUUAUGAUCUUUAUGUCAGUCGAGCAGGUUUUAUUUAACCGUGACCUCAUUUUCCACGGUUCAUUGCACAGUGUUAAGUUUUUGUGUUUUGGUCUAUUUUUCUUAAACUAUAAGUAAUGGGUCAACUAUAUAUGUUGUAUAGAAGCAUUGUUAGCUGUACCUGUCUGCCUGGCAUGGUUCAUCUGACCUGGACCUCUUUUUCAAGGUUCAUUGGUCUUUGUUUAGUUAUCUUGGUUAAUGUUAAGUUUAUGUGACAGUUGUAAUAAAGCUUAGCUUUAUACUUAGGACUAUCAACAUAACAUCAAUGAUUAGUAUAGAAGGCGAGACAUUUCAGCGUGUGCACUCUUGUUCUUGGUUAUAAAUUAUAUAACAUUUUUCAUUUUGUGGCCUUUUAAAGCUUACUGUUGUCAUAUGGGUUUUGUUCACUUGAAGGAUCCAGGAUGUACAAUGUCACCUAAAGGUAGUUUGAACUUACAACUGUAGUUCACAGUCUAGUGGCCCACAUCAACGUCAUGUCUAUUUUCAGCUAUCUUGGAUACAUCAUAUAAAGAGGGGGCAGGACCAUUUUCGGGACGUCGGGAUUGGGUGUUUUUAAGCUCAGGAUUUCUGGUAUUCUGUUUUUCGAAAUUCAGGAUUUUGAGAUUUAAAUUGCUUUAAAUUAGGGACCUCAGGAUUUCAUGUUUUUAAGCCCAGAAUUUUGGGAUCAGUACCCCUCCACUCCCCCCUCUAUAAAUGCCUUUAAAAAAAAAUAAUAAAAAAAAUGGAAUUUCCUAAUUUUAUAUUUAACUUAUCCAUACAGCUGUCAUUUGACACGGAUAAGUUUUCCAUUGAAUAAUCUCAUUGCUACAUAAUUAAUGUACUUAUCGG
Molecule: long non-coding RNA, 921 nt
Filed under: Mytilus galloprovincialis (Mediterranean mussel)
Lineage: Eukaryota; Metazoa; Mollusca; Bivalvia; Mytilida; Mytilidae
Source: RNAcentral